GACGAACGCUGGCGGCGUGCUUAACACAUGCAAGUCGAGCGGUAAGGCCCUUUCGGGGGUACACGAGCGGCGAACGGGUGAGUAACACGUGGGUGACCUGCCCUUAGCUCUGGGAUAAGCCUGGGAAACUGGGUCUAAUACCGGAUAUGACUCCAUGACGCAUGUUGUGGGGUGGAAAGCCUUGUGCGGCUAGGGAUGGGGCCCGGCCGGCCUAUCAGCUUGUUGGUGGGGUGAUGGCCUACCAAGGCGACGACGGGUAGCCGGCCUGAGAGGGCGACCGGCCACACUGGGACUGAGACACGGCCCAGACUCCUACGGGAGGGCANCAGGUGGGGAAUCUUGCGCAAUGGGCGAAAGCCUGACGCAGCGACGCCGCGUGA
Molecule: ribosomal RNA, 380 nt
Filed under: uncultured bacterium
Lineage: Bacteria
Description: bacterial SSU rRNA
Rfam family: Bacterial small subunit ribosomal RNA
Source: RNAcentral